GGAGUCUGGGCCGUAUCUCAGUCCCAAUGUGGCCGUUCAACCUCUCAGUCCGGCUACUGAUCGCAGUCUUGGUAGGCCGUUACCCUGCCAACUAACUAAUCAGAUAUGAGCCCAUCUUUCAGCGGAUUGCUCCUUUGGUUUCAUGAGGAUGCCCUCUCGAAACAUUAUGCGGUAUUAGCAGUCGUUUCCAACUGUUGUCCCCCUCUGAAAGGCAGGUUGCUCAUACAUUACUCACCCGUCCGCCACUAAGUCAAAUCCCGUUCUUGACGAAUCUCAAACAGAAAGUGCUUCGUUCGACUUGCAUGUGUUAGGCACGCCGCCAGCGUUCAUC
Molecule: ribosomal RNA, 331 nt
Filed under: uncultured Oscillospiraceae bacterium
Lineage: Bacteria; Bacillati; Bacillota; Clostridia; Eubacteriales; Oscillospiraceae
Description: partial 16S ribosomal RNA
Source: RNAcentral